Molecule: long non-coding RNA, 2080 nt
Organism: Salvelinus fontinalis (brook trout)
Lineage: Eukaryota; Metazoa; Chordata; Actinopteri; Salmoniformes; Salmonidae
Exons: 2
Source: RefSeq, a predicted model, not a curated record
GUUCCGUGUUCCUAUUGGUCAGAUGCUUUACUGUAUAUCGGACCAUCGAGUGGGAGUAGUAGGCGAGUGUGGAGAGUUUAUAUGAACCUGCAUGAAUAGGUGCGCUCCUUUUGAAAGCUAAUGUGUUAAACGGCACAGGUGGAACCAGGGAUCUGUAUAAACCCUGGAUUGCUGAUGCUAUGUAUUGGCCAAUGGUCCAUGCUAUCUGUGGGACAUCCCUACCCAAUGAAGUUGAAAUUGAAAAUGGUUAAGUUUUCCCUAUUAAAACAUGGACACCUACCACGCUGCGUAUUGGUCCGAUCCUUGCUACACCUCUUCAGAGGAAGAAGAGGACGACAGCCAUGACAGAAUCACCCACCAACCAAGGACCAAGCAGCGUGGUAUCGGGCAGCAGCGAUCGCAGGACUCCUGGACCUGGGAGGAGAUUCUGGAUGGAAAAGGACCCUGGUCGCAGGCUGGGGAAUAUCGCCGUCCCAAAGCAGAGCUGGAGGCAGCGAAAGCUGAGCGGCGGCGAUAUGAGGAGGCAGCACGGCAGCGCGACAGGUACGAGAGGCAACCCCAAAAAAUGUUUUUGGGGGGGCACACGGGAGUGUGGUAAGCCAGGUAGCAGACCUGAGCUCACUCCUCGUGCUUAUUAUAAGCAGCGCGUUACUGGUCAGGCACCAUGUUAUGCGGUUAAGCGCACGGUGUCGCCAGUACGUGUCCAUAGUCUGGUGCGCUAUAGGGCAGCCCCCCGAAAGUGUCAUGCGAGUGUGGGCAUCCAGCCAGGGCGUAUUGUGCCUGCUCAGCAUGUCUGGUCUCCGGUACGCCGUUUCGGUCCAGGUUAACCUGCGCCGGCUCUGCGUGCUGCGUCUCCGGGGCGCUGGGAGGGUGCAGUGCGUCCUAUGCCUGCGCUCCGCUCGAGCCGGGCAAAUGUGGGAGUGGAGCCUAAGGGAGAGGUGCAUGUAGUAGGCACUAGAUCUCCAGUGCUCACCCACAGCCCGGUUCAACCUGUGCCUGCACUCUGGAGAGUCCGGGCUAGAGUAGUAUUCCAGCCUGGGGGAGUGGUGCCAAGGCUGCGCACCAGAACUCCAGUGCUCCCCCACAGCCCGGUCCUUCAGCUGACCUCCUAACACCAAGCCUCCUGUAGGUCUCCCCAGCCUGGUGGGUCCUGUGGCAGUCCCACGCACCAGGCUGUCUUUCCGUCUCCUCCCUACAGGUGUGCCCGUCUGCCCAGCGCCGCCUGCGCUGCCCGUCUGCCCAGCGCCAUCUGAGCUGUCCGUCUGCCAAGCGCCGCCUGCGUUGCCCGUCUGCCCUGCGCCGCUAGAGCCGCCCGUCUGUCAGGAGCCGCUAGAGCCGUCCAUCAGUCAGGAGCUGCCAGAGCCGCCCGCCAGUCAGGAGCUGCCAGAGCCGCCCGCCAGUCAGGAGCUGCCAGAGCCACUCGCCAGUCAGGAGCUGCCAGAGCCGCCCGCCAGUCAGGAGCUGCCCCUCAGUCAGGAGCCGCCCCUCAGUCCAGUGGGGCCUUUAAUUAGGAUCUUAGACCCUAGGUCGGAGGCGAGGGUCGUCCCUCUGUAGAGGCCCUUGAAGAGGGAAAUGACUAUGGUAGAGUGGGGUCUACGUCCCGCACCUGAACCGCCGCCAUGAAUGAGGCCCACCCGGACCCUCCCCUUUAGAUUAGGUUUUUGCGGCCGGAGUCCGCACCUUUGUGGGGGGGGUACUGUCACGCCCUGACCUGAGUAUUCUUUGUUUUCUUUAAAUAUUUUGGUUAGGUCAGGAUGUGACGAGGGUGGUUUGUGUGUUUUUGUCUCGUCUAGGGUGUUUGUACUGUCUAGGGUUAUUUUGUAGAUUUAUGGGGUUGUGUUCAUUCUAGGUGUUUAUGUAAGUCUAUGGUUGCCUAGAUUGGUUCUCAAUUACAGGCAGGUGUUUAUCGUUGUCUCUGAUUGGGAACCAUAUUUAGGCAGCCAUGUUCUUUGGGUAUUUUGUGGGUGAUUGUUUCCUGUGUCAGUGUUUGUGCCACACGGGACUGUUUCGGUUUGUUCACGUUUAUUGUUUUUGUAUUUGUGUUCAUGUUCAGUUUUCCCUAUUAAAACAUGGACACCUA